RNAcentral lists this unclassified non-coding RNA (3202 nucleotides) under Stylophora pistillata. RNAcentral's name for it is "condensin complex subunit 3-like, transcript variant X1". Lineage: Eukaryota; Metazoa; Cnidaria; Anthozoa; Scleractinia; Pocilloporidae. The record is from RNAcentral.
GGCGCCAUUUUUUGAACGAACGUUUGUUUUCACGUUGUCAAUUUCAAUCGUUGUUAGAUUUUCUCUUGUACAUUUCCGUCAUGCCUUCACGGUAUGAUAGCGUGAGAAGUGUUUUUGAAGAAGCCCAGCGUAGUUUUCAACAGCACAAGAUUUUGACGGAGUUGAAAAAACUCCACGACAAGUCCUCUCCGGAUGAAUUUCUGGAAAGUUUCCUGUUGCAUCUGAAACAUGCGAUGGUUGUGUUUAACAGAGAACCUGCUGUUGAAAGGGUCAUCGAGUUCGUGGCCAAGUAUGCAACACUGAAAGAUCACCGUACCUCUCAAACUGAAAAGGAUGGCGAUAGAAGUGAUGGUGAAGAGGAUGAUUACAGCAAUGUUUUCCUUGAUUCCAUCUUUACAUUCUUACUGGACUCGCAUGAUGUUAAAGACAAAGCUGUAAGAUUCCGUGUCUGUCAGCUUAUCAACAAGCUCUUGAAUAACAUGGGUGAUGAUGCUGUCAUUGAUGAUGACCUGGCAGAGAGGAUAUUUGAGAGCAUGUUGAUACGGCUCCAUGACAAGUUUCCUGCUGUGCGAGUGCAAGCUGUUGCAGCUAUCUCCAGGCUCCAGGACCCCUCAGAUCCUGAAUGCAUUGUAAUAUCAACAUACUUAAAACUCAUGUCCAAUGAUUCUAGUGUUGAAGUGCGCAGAACAGUGCUCCUGAAUGUUGCUCUUACUUCUCAGACAUUGGAGGGAAUAAUAGGAAGAACCCAAGACAUGACAGAGUCAGUUCGAAAGUUAGCUUAUCGCACUCUAGCAGAGAAGGUGAACAUCAAAUCAUUUACAAUUGCCCAGCGUGUGCAGCUGCUUUCCAAUGGUCUGCAUGACAGAUCAGAAGCCGUUAAGGAAGUUUGUGCCAAGGAGCUUCUUUACCAGUGGUUGAACAGUUUUGAUGGGGAUGUGGUCAAACUUCUGAAGUGCUUAGAUGUUGAUGGCUGCACAGAAGUUGCAGAACUGGCUUUGAAGACAUUGCUGAAUGGGCUGCCAAAUGAAGACCUUCAAGGUUACAUUGAUUCUUUAAAGAAAGGGCAACAAGGAGGAGGUCCUGUGGAGAUCAGCUAUGAAGUUCUAGAUGCUGAGACAGUAUUUUAUUGGAGAUGUCUUGGAGAACAUUUGAAGUCCAUGGGGGUGAAUGGUGAAGCACUUUUGGAUGAACUUCUACCUGAAGUGUCAGUAUUUUGCAAAUAUAUUCAAGGGUAUGUGGACAACUGUUUGUCCAAAACAUCUUCAGAGGAGUCUGAUCAUUCAAGAAGUCAACAGAACUUUGUUACUAAGCAACUGUUGAUUCUUGUGGGGGUGAUGGACCUCUCUGAUGAAGUUGGAAGAAAGAAUCUUUGCCAGAUGAUCCAUGACUUGUUGGUGCACGCAGAGAUCCAAGAGUCAUUGGUGGAUGUCCUACAUGACAGAUAUAUAGAUGUUCAACCAGAAGAAAGCAGCAGAAUCCAGGAGCUGGUUGAAAUUAUUGCUGAUGUUAGACAACCCAUUGUCAUGAUUGAGACUGCUCAAAACAAGGAGAAAAAACGACUGUGGGAACUAAAGGUUGCAGGAAUGAGCGUCAAACUUAACCAGUUGCGUGACGAAAUGGAACAAUGUGUGAUGGAUCAGGAUUUUGCUAAGGCAGCUGAACUGAAAGAGCAAAUAGCAGAUCUGGGAGGACAGAAGGAAAUACUUGAUUCACAAGAAAACUCCUUUUCCCAGACUAUUAGGGAAGAAAAGGAUGAUCCUGAUACACUGUUGAAGUGUUUAACCAUUGCAUCUGAGAUGUUACAGGGUGUGGCAACAAGUGGACUGAAUCCAACACUUACCACUUUGGUUCAAACUUUGAUUCUUCCUGGUGUUCAGAAUGAAGAUCCCUUAGUGCGUAACAUGGCUGUCAAAUGCUUGGGCUUGUGUGCACUACUUUCUUGUGAAUUUGCACGCACACAUCUUGUACUUUUUCUGCAGGUGGCUCAACUAGAUCAAGAGCUUGUGCGAGCCACUGCUCUUCAGGUUGUUUUUGACCUUCUUCUAAAGUUUGGUCUUGAGGCUUUCAAAGUCAAUGCUUCAGUCCCUGAGAUAGAGGGUGAUGACCCUAGCAUCAAUGGCUCAGAUCAGGACAAAUUAGAGGUGCAGAAUGAUGAAAAUGAAGGAGAUGAAGAUGUCACAGAAAAGAGUGAUGAUGGAGAUGUGGAGGAGACCCAGGCUCCAGACACUGACACUGCUGCGAGUGUGCUUACGAUACUUACAGGAAUUUUAGAAAGUGAGAGCAAUGACCUUAGGAAUGUGGCCGCUGAAGGAUUGGCCAAGCUGUUGCUGUCAGGUCGUGUUCUGAGUGCCAAACUUUUCUCUCGUCUUCUGUUACUGUGGUACAAUCCUACCACUGAGGAUGAUGUCAACCUGCGGCACUGCCUGGGUGUCUUUUUCCCUGUUUUUGCCUUUGCUUCACGCACUAAUCAGGAGCUCAUUGAAGAGGCAUUCCUUCCCACCCUUAAGACAUUAUUCAGUGCCCCUAUGUCAUCUCCUCUGGCAUCAGUUAACAUCAAUAAUGUGGCAGAGUUGCUGGUGGAUUUGACAAAUGCAAAGUACUUAGAAAAGAAAGAAAAAUCACAUAUUGAUGCAAAUGAGGCAUUCAGCAUUCAUGCUUCUCUGAGCAUUGCAAUGGCUAAUGAGAUUUUGUCUUGUCCUGAUGCUCCUGGUGUCCGAGUUCUGUGCAAGGUACUGACUAUGAUGGACUUGACUGGCUGCACACAGUCUACAGUCAAGGAAAUUAAAGUCCUUACAAUGAGGAUGAUAGAGGAAAUUGAAGAGAAUAUGUCCCUGAAAUCAUUGAGCAAAUUAAACAAAAUGCUGGAAACUCUCACAGACAAGGAGAUUGAUGGUGUCUCACAGAAUGAAUCAGAUGAUGACAAUCAGGCAAAUGCUGAGAAAACAGAGGAACCCAAUGAAGACAAACCCUCUGAAGUCCUGAAUGAAAACCAAGCUGACAACAAAUCAAAAGAAACAAAAUCAAGAAGAAAGAGUAAGAAGCAAGCAGGGUCAAAUUCAGUCGCCAGGGACAAAGAGCAUGGGUACGAAAAGAAGUGACAUGAUAGGUGUCUUGCACUAGCCCCAUUGCUUUGGGCAAGGAAACACCAGCUCGUCAAACAAGGUCAAGCAGAAAAAGCAAGACAAAUGUUAGUAAAAUGGUC